GCUAGCGGCAGGCCUAAUACAUGCAAGUCGAGGGGUAACAGGAAGUGCUUGCACUUCGCUGACGACCGGCGCACGGGUGAGUACCGCGUAUACAAUCUGCCUCAUACUAGGGAAUAGCCCGAAGAAAUUUGGAUUAAUGCCCUAUAGUAUCUUUUUAAGGCAUCUUAUUAAGAUUAAAGGUUACGGUAUGAGAUGAGUAUGCGUUCUAUUAGCUAGUAGGUGUGGUAACGGCACACCUAGGCUACGAUAGAUAGGGGCCCUGAGAGGGGGAUCCCCCACACUGGUACUGAGACACGGACCAGACUCCUACGGGAGGCAGCAGUAAGGAAUAUUGGACAAUGGGCGAAAGCCUGAUCCAGCCAUGCCGCGUGCAGGAUGACGGCCCUAUGGGUUGUAAACUGCUUUUAUAUAGGAAGAAAAACUUUCUCGUGAGAAAGCUUGACGGUACUAUAAGAAUAAGGAUCGGCUAACUCCGUGCCAGCAGCCGCGGUAAUACGGAGGAUCCAAGCGUUAUCCGGAAUCAUUGGGUUUAAAGGGUCCGUAGGUGGACAAAUAAGUCAGAGGUGAAAUCCUGCAGCUCAACUGUAGAACUGCCUUUGAUACUGUUUGUCUUGAGUUAUUAUGAAGUGGUUAGAAUGUGUAGUGUAGCGGUGAAAUGCAUAGAUAUUACACAGAAUACCGAUUGCGAAGGCAGAUCACUAAUAAUUAACUGACACUGAGGGACGAAAGCGUGGGUAGCGAACAGGAUUAGAUACCCUGGUAGUCCACGCCGUAAACGAUGGUCACUAGCUGUUUGGACUUCGGUCUGAGUGGCUAAGCGAAAGUGAUAAGUGACCCACCUGGGGAGUACGUC
RNAcentral lists this ribosomal RNA (853 nucleotides) under uncultured Flavobacteriaceae bacterium. RNAcentral describes it as "bacterial SSU rRNA". It matches the Rfam family "Bacterial small subunit ribosomal RNA", at positions 35 to 886 of the family's 1533-position model. Lineage: Bacteria; Pseudomonadati; Bacteroidota; Flavobacteriia; Flavobacteriales; Flavobacteriaceae. The record is from RNAcentral.